This 733-nucleotide unclassified non-coding RNA is filed under the name Hevea brasiliensis (rubber tree). Lineage: Eukaryota; Viridiplantae; Streptophyta; Magnoliopsida; Malpighiales; Euphorbiaceae. The record is from RNAcentral.
GAAUCCCAAAAUUUCAGAUUUUGGGAUGGCAAGAAUGUUUGGUGGAGAUCAGACUGAAGGAAAUACUAAGAGGAUAGUUGGAACUUAUGGUUAUAUGCCUCCAGAGUAUGCAAUAGAUGGACACUUCUCUUUAAAAUCUGACGUCUUCAGCUUUGGUGUUAUAGUAUUAGAGAUAUUGAGUGGUCAGAAAAACCGAGGAUUCUUCCAUCCAGACCACAAACUCAAUCUUCUGGGGCAUACAUGGAAGUUAUGGAGUGAAGGGAGGGCCUUGGAAUUAGUGGAUGAAUUGCUGGAGAACGAGUUCCCUGUUUCUGAAGUGCUGAGAUGCAUACAAGUGGGUCUUCUAUGCGUCCAACAGCGGCCGGAGGAGAGACCAACAAUGGCAUCUGUGCUCCUGAUGUUAGAUUCUGAGAGCACAUUGUUGCCUCAACCUGGUCAACCUGGUUUCUAUGCAGAAAGGUGUCUUUCAGAGACAGAUUCAUCAUCACUUGGACAUUUGAUUUCUAAUGAAAUGACUGUCACAUUGUUAGAGGGUCGCUAGUAUUUGCCUACAAUUAUCUUUUCUUUUUUCUUGUUAAAAUUUGGCAGCUCGAACUAAAAACCUCCUAGCGAACAACUCCAGCGCCGCUGAAUUAAAGCCCAUUGGUAUUUAUCCUUUUUCUUUUGUUGUAGAAAUUGAGAACUUAUCAAUCUACUUUCUAUUAUCAUGCAAUGCCAUUCUGUAUCACAUCUG